GUGACUGCAGAGCGGCGGCCGGAGGAGCGGCGGGGGCCAUGGCGCAGCGGCUCUUCCCCCUGCCCAGGCAGCAGUCCCUCUACCCGCCCAGCGUCCGCAACCCCUUCGUGCACGAGGGGCGCCUGAGCGCCCGCGACAAAGCCCGGACUGUCCUGUUGGGGCUUAUCCUGCUUCCAUUUCGUGCCAUAUGUAUUGCAUUAAUUUUGCUGCUAGCAUGGCUAUUUGCAGCAAUUGUGACUUUCUGCCAUCCUGGAAGAGGGUCUGUGCCGCUCAUGGGAUGGAAGAGGAGAGUGACCCAGUGUGCCCUCCAGUGCUUAGGUCGUGUUAUGUUCUUCUUGAUGGGCUUCCAAGUUGAAGUGAAGGGGAAAGUAGCAGGUCCCUUGGAAGCCCCAAUCCUUGUUGCAGCUCCUCACUCAAGCUUCUUUGAUGGAAUUGUUUGUAUCCUAGCUGGAUUGCCAUCGUUCGUAUCCAGGUUAGAGAACCUGUCGGCCCCAGUAUUUGGCACAAUUCUCAGAUCCCUCCAGCCAGUACUGGUAUCACGUCUAGACCCAGAUUCUCGAAGGAAUACAAUCAAUGAGAUAACUAAACGAGCAACAUCAGGAGGCCAGUGGCCACAGGUACUGAUUUUCCCAGAAGGCACCUGUACAAAUCGAUCUUGUCUGAUCACCUUUAAACAAGGAGCCUUUAUUCCAGGAGUUCCCGUGCAACCGGUGCUGCUCCGAUAUCCAAACAAACUGGAUACUGUGACCUGGACAUGGCAAGGCUAUUCAUUUGAAGCAGAUAUGGCAGUGAAAUUCUUAACAUUUUGGUUUCCUUUUUCUUUUGGACUGUCAUUACUGAAAAAUCACAGCAAAGAACUUUGUGUGAUGACUUUUUGCCAGCUGUUAACGAGGGUAGAAGUUGAGUUUCUACCUGUCCAUGUUCCUACAGAGGAAGAGAAAAAGGAUCCUACUCUUUUUGCCAACAGAGUCCGUAGUACCAUGGCAAUGGCUUUGAAUGUGCCAGUUACAGACCAUACUUUUGAAGACUGCAGACUUAUGAUUUCAGCAGGACAGCUGACCUUGCCCAUGGAAGCAGGACUGGUGGAGUUUACCAAAAUCAGCAAGAAACUGAAUCUAAAAUGGGAUUCUAUCCGAGAUCAACUGGAUACAUUUGCUGCUAUUGCAAAUACCUCCAAAGGGGGAAGAAUUGGAAUGGAGGAGUUUGCCGAGUACUUGAAGCUGCCUGUCUCAGAUGUUCUCAAAGAGCUGUUCCUACUCUUCGAUAGGAAUGGAGAUGGCACCAUAGACUUCCGAGAAUACGUGAUUGGUUUGUCUGUUCUUUGUAACCCUGCCAACACAGAAGAGACUAUUCAGAUGGCAUUUAAGCUCUUUGAUGUUGAUGAUGACGGCAGCAUAACAGAAGAAGAGUUUGCUUGUAUUCUCCGGUCAUCUCUUGGCAUACCUGACCUUGAUGUUUCUCAACUCUUUAAGGAAAUAGACACAGAUAAUUCUGGGAAGAUCGCCUAUAAUGAGUUUAAGGACUUUGCAUUCAAGCAUCCAGAAUAUGCCAAGUUAUUUACUACGUACCUAGAGCUACAGAGGUGCCAGCUACAGACAUUAGAUGAAGAAGAUUAUCAGACACCAGAAGACACAUACUCACAGAGUAAGACAUCAGUUUCAGAAAAGACUCCAAUCGCAAGAAAUAAAGUCGGUCCUGAAAGCAAUGAAGAAGACAUCUCAAGUACUUCAGACAAAAAGGAUGACUAACAGGACCUAGAAACGCCACCUGAGACUGAAAAGCCACUGGACUGGCAUUGUAUCAACACACAGUGAAAGAUUCUCCCUCCCCUGAAGAGUUUACAAACAAGGCAAAGAGAGAGAAGAGAAACAGAGUCACAGAGUGGCUAAGUAUUUGCCUGAGGUCACACUGCAGGUUAUGGGCAGAGCUGGGAUUAAAAGCCAGAUCUCUUGAUUCUUGGUUCAGGGUUCUACCCACUAGACCAUGCUGUCUCUCUGAAACUCGAAGAAAUAAUCGAACUCUGACCCCUCUAAACGUGGGGUAAGUUCAGCAUGAGAUCAAAACCACAAUGCGCAAGGAGAGAGCAGAUCAAAUAGAUUAGAUUGUUUAUGCCAAGAGGGUGCAUGGUUUUGCCUUAUAUGCUACUUUGAGCAUCAGUGUUUCUCUGUUUAAAUGCCUGCCCUUCUCACCUGCAACUGUCUCUGCUUUGCUUGCCACCUCGAGGCAUUUCCAGUUCAUCAGAGACUGAUCCUGUCCACUGUGACUGCACUAUCUGAGAUAUUGCACCCCAGAGUCUCUGCACAGUUCAUGUCGGCUCCGUGCUCUGGCAGGCAAGUGUCUAAGGAAUGUAUCACAUGCCCAUAGAGUCCAAUCUGAUUUUCAGUGAAGUCAGUGUUGGACUUUCUAUGGGGAGGGUUGGACUGAAAUCAGUCUCAUGUUAGUUCAUUUCUCAACCUGUGGUGGGGUUUAUGAAUUCAAAUAAUUUCAUGUCAGUCAAACCCUUCUGCCUUUUCUCCUCAGGUAUCCUUGCUAUUUUCCCCAUACAGAGUCCAUCUACCUUUCUUCAAAGACUCAGACUCUAAGUCAUUGUUUUCUAAGUUUGUUAAUAUUUUCCUGCCCAUCUCAUAGAAGAACCUGCCAAGAGAAAUAUCUCAGCUGGAAAACAAAGAAGCAGAACUUGGCAUGCAUUCAUCCCAGUUUGGGUGGAUAAAUAAACAGUAGAUCAAAUAUUGGUGGCGGGGCGGGGGAAACUGUUUAUUCCUAGCGGGUUCAUUUCUUACGCACACAUCUCUCCCACAGCAUGGGGACAAGCACGUCCUAUGAAGUGUGCACCACUGCACCUGGGAAAGGGCUAUUGCUGUCAACUGGACAACACAUUCUCUCUUACAAAAUUGUAUUGUACUCUGCAUGGGCCUACAACUUAAAUCUACCUGGAAACUGCAGCUGAUACAGAAAGUGACAACUCAGGGGAGAAAAAUAAAUCCAUCCAUCCAUUCUCUGAAGGGCCCUAUAAGUUGACAUUUCAUGUAAGUCCCAGAAGAGGCCUCAGAUCUUCUUGCCUAGGCAGAGUUUGGAGUUAUUGCAGCAACUAGCAAUAUAUGGGAACUGAAGAUGUGUCUGAUCCAAAAUGCUGAAGCUGAAUGCACCGCAGCUUUGGAAAUCCAGUUUUUGUGCCUCAGGCCAUUUCCUAGUCUGAAGAUAUCUGCUCAGCACCUCUGUUUGUUUUGUUCAGCUUUUCCUUAAUAAAAAUGAAUGAUCAAUUAUAAAACAUUUUGCCAAAGCACUGAUUAGAAGGAACUGAAGCAACUAGCUGUUGACUGAGACACAUCUGAAAAAAUAAAAGAUUUGGAAGAAAAGGAAAAGAGGAGAGAAAGACGCAAAGAAGGGGGAAGAGGAAUGAAUUAGAGUGAUAAGUAUCAAUAUGUAUUAAUCAGUUCACAGGAUAGAGGAAUAGUGCUUUGUUGUUACAUUAUUAAGUGCCUCUUAUGUAGGUUUGGAAGAAUGAUAUUUUUAUUGUAAAUGUCAAUAAACAUCGAUUUCACCAUUCACACAUAAAUCAAUGAAAAAAAUGUUUCCAUCGCUAAUAAUCAAAACGUGCAGACAAAGAAGAUGCUUUGCGAGAAUUUAUUAGAGUUUGAUUUAAGGCUGAUUACUUUGUAUACU
This is an RNA transcript of Gopherus evgoodei (Goodes thornscrub tortoise), 3663 nucleotides long. It is a transcript of the gene named lysophosphatidylcholine acyltransferase 2, with no coding region annotated. The transcript has 19 exons. The record is from RefSeq and is a predicted model, not a curated record. Lineage: Eukaryota; Metazoa; Chordata; Testudines; Testudinidae.